Molecule: ribosomal RNA, 464 nt
Filed under: uncultured bacterium
Lineage: Bacteria
Description: partial 16S ribosomal RNA
Rfam family: Bacterial small subunit ribosomal RNA
Source: RNAcentral
CCUACGGGUGGCAGCAGUAGGGAAUUUUCGUCAAUGGGCGCAAGCCUGAACGAGCAAUGCCGCGUGAACGAGGAAGGUCUUCGGAUCGUAAAGUUCUGUUGAAGGGGAAAAAGAGCGGAGAGAGGAAAUGGUCUCCGAUUGAUAUUACCCUUCGAGGAAGUCACGGCUAACUACGUGCCAGCAGCCGCGGUAAUACGGAGGAUGCGAGCGUUAUCCGGAUUGCUUGGGUUAAAAGGGUGCGCAGGCGGGAGAUAAAGUCAGCGGUAAAAUGUCGGGGCUCAACCCCGGCCGGCCGUUGAAACUGGUGUUCGAGAGUUGGAGAAAAGUAUGCGGAAUGCGUGGUGUAGCGGUGAAAUGCAUAGAUAGCACGAAGAACUCCGAUUGCGAAGGCAGCAUACCGGCUCCAUACUGACGCUGAGGCACGAAAGCGUGGGGAUCGAACAGGAUUAGAUACCCGAGUAGUC